Molecule: ribosomal RNA, 314 nt
Filed under: uncultured bacterium
Lineage: Bacteria
Description: bacterial SSU rRNA
Rfam family: Bacterial small subunit ribosomal RNA
Source: RNAcentral
AACGAACGCUGGCGGCAUGCUUAACACAUGCAAGUCGAACGAGUCCGGGGGCUUGCUCCCGGGCUAGUGGCGAACGGGUGAGUAACGCGUGGGAACCUGCCUUGGAGUGGGGGAUAACCACUGGAAACGGUGGCUAAUACCGCAUGUGGCCCGAGGGCCAAAGCCUUGGAUUUCGGUCCGGGGCGCUUCGAGAGGGGCCCGCGUCCGAUUAGCUUGUUGGUGGGGUAACGGCCUACCAAGGCGUCGAUCGGUAGCNGGUCUGAGAGGAUGAUCAGCCACACUGGGACUGCGACACGGCCCAGACUCCUACGGGA